Molecule: small RNA, 28 nt
Filed under: Bombyx mori (domestic silkworm)
Lineage: Eukaryota; Metazoa; Arthropoda; Insecta; Lepidoptera; Bombycidae
Description: ovarian small RNA-23220
Source: RNAcentral
UAGUUUCUGGUAACAUGUAAUAUAACAU